UGCGAGUUUAGGGGCUCCUUCGGGAGCACCGGCGGACUGCUCAGUAACACGUGGACAACCUACCCUCGGGUGGGGGAUAACCUCGGGAAACUGAGGCUAAUACCCCAUAGGCCUCGGAUACUGGAAGGUUCCGAGACCGAAAGCUCCGGCGCCCGAGGAUGGGUCUGCGGCCUAUCAGGUAGUUGGUGGUGUAAAGGACCACCAAGCCUACGACGGGUACGGGCCCUGAGAGGGGGAGCCCGGAGAUGGACUCUGAGACACGAGUCCAGGCCCUACGGGGCGCAGCAGGCGCGAAACCUUCGCAAUGCGCGAAAGCGCGACGAGGGGAGCCCGAGUGCCCUUCCUUUCGGGAGGGCUUUUCUGGAGCCUAAAAAGCUCCAGGAAUAAGGGCUGGGCAAGACGGGUGCCA
RNAcentral lists this ribosomal RNA (409 nucleotides) under uncultured archaeon. RNAcentral's name for it is "bacterial SSU rRNA". It matches the Rfam family "Archaeal small subunit ribosomal RNA", at positions 52 to 460 of the family's 1478-position model. The record is from RNAcentral.